This 255-nucleotide ribosomal RNA is filed under the name uncultured bacterium. RNAcentral's name for it is "partial 16S ribosomal RNA". It matches the Rfam family "Bacterial small subunit ribosomal RNA", at positions 524 to 776 of the family's 1533-position model. The record is from RNAcentral.
UACGUAGGGCGCGAGCGUUGUCCGGAAUUAUUGGGCGUAAAGAGCUCGUAGGUGGCUUGUUGCGUCUGCCGUGAAAGCCCGUGGCUUAACUACGGGUCUGCGGUGGAUACGGGCAGGCUAGAGGCUGGUAGGGGGCAAGCGGAAUUCCUGGUGUAGCGGUGAAAUGCGCAGAUAUCAGGAGGAACACCGGUGGCGAAGGCGGCUUGCUGGGCCAGUUCUGACGCUGAGGAGCGAAAGCGUGGGGAGCGAAACAGG